This 46-nucleotide non-coding RNA is filed under the name Pelobates cultripes (western spadefoot toad). It matches the Rfam family "Histone 3' UTR stem-loop". From Rfam's summary of the family: The mRNAs of metazoan histone genes lack a poly-A tail. 3' end processing occurs at a site between a highly conserved stem-loop (modelled by this family) and a purine rich region around 20 nts downstream (the histone downstream element, or HDE). The record is from RNAcentral. Lineage: Eukaryota; Metazoa; Chordata; Amphibia; Anura; Pelobatidae.
CCAAAGGCUCUUUUCAGAGCCAUUAACCUCUGUCUUGCCAGUGAUC